UUGAAGAGUUUGAUCAUGGCUCAGAUUGAACGCUGGCGGCAGGCCUAACACAUGCAAGUCGAACGGUAACAGGAAGCAGCUUGCUGCUUUGCUGACGAGUGGCGGACGGGUGAGUAAUGUCUGGGAAACUGCCUGAUGGAGGGGGAUAACUACUGGAAACGGUAGCUAAUACCGCAUAAUGUCGCAAGACCAAAGAGGGGGACCUUCGGGCCUCUUGCCAUCGGAUGUGCCCAGAUGGGAUUAGCUAGUAGGUGGGGUAAAGGCUCACCUAGGCGACGAUCCCUAGCUGGUCUGAGAGGAUGACCAGCCACACUGGAACUGAGACACGGUCCAGACUCCUACGGGAGGCAGCAGUGGGGAAUAUUGCACAAUGGGCGCAAGCCUGAUGCAGCCAUGCCGCGUGUAUGAAGAAGGCCUUCGGGUUGUAAAGUACUUUCAGCGGGGAGGAAGGGAGUAAAGUUAAUACCUUUGCUCAUUGACGUUACCCGCAGAAGAAGCACCGGCUAACUCCGUGCCAGCAGCCGCGGUAAUACGGAGGGUGCAAGCGUUAAUCGGAAUUACUGGGCGUAAAGCGCACGCAGGCGGUUUGUUAAGUCAGAUGUGAAAUCCCCGGGCUCAACCUGGGAACUGCAUCUGAUACUGGCAAGCUUGAGUCUCGUAGAGGGGGGUAGAAUUCCAGGUGUAGCGGUGAAAUGCGUAGAGAUCUGGAGGAAUACCGGUGGCGAAGGCGGCCCCCUGGACGAAGACUGACGCUCAGGUGCGAAAGCGUGGGGAGCAAACAGGAUUAGAUACCCUGGUAGUCCACGCCGUAAACGAUGUCGACUUGGAGGUUGUGCCCUUGAGGCGUGGCUUCCGGAGCUAACGCGUUAAGUCGACCGCCUGGGGAGUACGGCCGCAAGGUUAAAACUCAAAUGAAUUGACGGGGGCCCGCACAAGCGGUGGAGCAUGUGGUUUAAUUCGAUGCAACGCGAAGAACCUUACCUGGUCUUGACAUCCACGGAAGUUUUCAGAGAUGAGAAUGUGCCUUCGGGAACCGUGAGACAGGUGCUGCAUGGCUGUCGUCAGCUCGUGUUGUGAAAUGUUGGGUUAAGUCCCGCAACGAGCGCAACCCUUAUCCUUUGUUGCCAGCGGUCCGGCCGGGAACUCAAAGGAGACUGCCAGUGAUAAACUGGAGGAAGGUGGGGAUGACGUCAAGUCAUCAUGGCCCUUACGACCAGGGCUACACACGUGCUACAAUGGCGCAUACAAAGAGAAGCGACCUCGCGAGAGCAAGCGGACCUCAUAAAGUGCGUCGUAGUCCGGAUUGGAGUCUGCAACUCGACUCCAUGAAGUCGGAAUCGCUAGUAAUCGUGGAUCAGAAUGCCACGGUGAAUACGUUCCCGGGCCUUGUACACACCGCCCGUCACACCAUGGGAGUGGGUUGCAAAAGAAGUAGGUAGCUUAACCUUCGGGAGGGCGCUUACCACUUUGUGAUUCAUGACUGGGGUGAAGUCGUAACAAGGUAACCGUAGGGGAACCUGCGGUUGGAUCACCUCCUU
RNAcentral lists this ribosomal RNA (1538 nucleotides) under Escherichia coli. RNAcentral describes it as "bacterial SSU rRNA". It matches the Rfam family "Bacterial small subunit ribosomal RNA". The record is from RNAcentral. Lineage: Bacteria; Pseudomonadati; Pseudomonadota; Gammaproteobacteria; Enterobacterales; Enterobacteriaceae.